GGUUGACCUCGGAUUAGGUAGGAAUACCCGCUGAACUUAAGCAUAUCAA
RNAcentral lists this ribosomal RNA (49 nucleotides) under Annulohypoxylon annulatum. RNAcentral's name for it is "partial 28S ribosomal RNA". Lineage: Eukaryota; Fungi; Ascomycota; Sordariomycetes; Xylariales; Hypoxylaceae. The record is from RNAcentral. RNAcentral also lists the same sequence under 1 other name.